Sander lucioperca (pikeperch) is the source of this 138-nucleotide long non-coding RNA. RefSeq lists it as uncharacterized. The record is from RefSeq and is a predicted model, not a curated record. NCBI's taxonomy places the organism in Eukaryota, Metazoa, Chordata, Actinopteri, Perciformes, Percidae. The transcript has 4 exons.
ACAUUAAACAUUUGACCUAUGGAUUAUAGACCCAAUAACAAUGUUUGUUUACAAUAACUUCCGGGUAGAAAACUCCUGUGUCCCGUACAUACAAUUUAACAGCGCCGAUCAAACAGGGACGAGGAACAACUGGAUAUA